UAAGACGAAGACUCCAGUCCAAGCUUCAUCAAAGUCAUCCAGCUGUGGAAUCGAUCAACUGCUGGGACAAUAAUCAAGUGAAAUCAUGAUGAAGAUACUGGUACUGCUUGGAUGUCUCCUGAGUCUGGCUCUGGCUCUUCCAGUGGACGAAGUGCAUGAGAGAAUUGCUCGUUCUUCCUCUGACUCCAAUUCCAGA
Gadus morhua (Atlantic cod) is the source of this 196-nucleotide long non-coding RNA. RefSeq lists it as uncharacterized. The transcript is spliced from 3 exons. Lineage: Eukaryota; Metazoa; Chordata; Actinopteri; Gadiformes; Gadidae. The record is from RefSeq and is a predicted model, not a curated record.